Unclassified non-coding RNA from Papio anubis (olive baboon), 148 nucleotides. It matches the Rfam family "Metazoan signal recognition particle RNA". From Rfam's summary of the family: The signal recognition particle (SRP) is a universally conserved ribonucleoprotein. It is involved in the co-translational targeting of proteins to membranes. Lineage: Eukaryota; Metazoa; Chordata; Mammalia; Primates; Cercopithecidae. The record is from Ensembl.
GCCAGGCAUGGUGGCGCAUGCCUGUAAUCCCAGCUACCUGGGAGGAUGAGGCAUGAGAAUUGCUUGAACCCAGGAGGCGGAGGUUGCAGUGAGCCGAGAUUGUGCCACUGUACUCCAGCCUGGGUGAUAGAGCAAGACCCUGUCUCAA